Ameiurus melas (black bullhead) is the source of this 72-nucleotide non-coding RNA. NCBI's taxonomy places the organism in Eukaryota, Metazoa, Chordata, Actinopteri, Siluriformes, Ictaluridae. The record is from the annotation of a GenBank genome assembly.
GUGGUGAUGGCUCAGCGGUUAAGGCUUUGGACUGCUGAUCAAACGGUUGAGUUAAAAUCCUUGCAUGCCACA